This 1372-nucleotide ribosomal RNA is filed under the name uncultured bacterium. RNAcentral's name for it is "bacterial SSU rRNA". It matches the Rfam family "Bacterial small subunit ribosomal RNA", at positions 28 to 1381 of the family's 1533-position model. The record is from RNAcentral.
GAUGAACGCUGGCGGCGUGCCUAAUACAUGCAAGUCGAGCGAACGGACGAGAAGCUUGCUUCUCUGAUGUUAGCGGCGGACGGGUGAGUAACACGUGGAUAACCUACCUAUAAGACUGGGAUAACUUCGGGAAACCGGAGCUAAUACCGGAUAAUACUUUGAACCGCAUGGUUCAAAAGUGAAAGACGGUCUUGCUGUCACUUAUAGAUGGAUCCGCGCUGCAUUAGCUAGUUGGUAAGGUAACGGCUUACCAAGGCAACGAUGCAUAGCCGACCUGAGAGGGUGAUCGGCCACACUGGAACUGAGACACGGUCCAGACUCCUACGGGAGGCAGCAGUAGGGAAUCUUCCGCAAUGGGCGAAAGCCUGACGGAGCAACGCCGCGUGAGUGAUGAAGGUCUUCGGAUCGUAAAACUCUGUUAUUAGGGAAGAACAUAUGUGUAAGUAACUGUGCACAUCUUGACGGUACCUAAUCAGAAAGCCACGGCUAACUACGUGCCAGCAGCCGCGGUAAUACGUAGGUGGCAAGCGUUAUCCGGAAUUAUUGGGCGUAAAGCGCGCGUAGGCGGUUUUUUAAGUCUGAUGUGAAAGCCCACGGCUCAACCGUGGAGGGUCAUUGGAAACUGGGAAACUUGAGUGCAGAAGAGGAAAGUGGAAUUCCAUGUGUAGCGGUGAAAUGCGCAGAGAUAUGGAGGAACACCAGUGGCGAAGGCGACUUUCUGGUCUGUAACUGACGCUGAUGUGCGAAAGCGUGGGGAUCAAACAGGAUUAGAUACCCUGGUAGUCCACGCCGUAAACGAUGAGUGCUAAGUGUUAGGGGGUUUCCGCCCCUUAGUGCUGCAGCUAACGCAUUAAGCACUCCGCCUGGGGAGUACGACCGCAAGGUUGAAACUCAAAGGAAUUGACGGGGACCCGCACAAGCGGUGGAGCAUGUGGUUUAAUUCGAAGCAACGCGAAGAACCUUACCAAAUCUUGACAUCCUUUGACAACUCUAGAGAUAGAGCUUUCCCCUUCGGGGGACAAAGUGACAGGUGGUGCAUGGUUGUCGUCAGCUCGUGUCGUGAGAUGUUGGGUUAAGUCCCGCAACGAGCGCAACCCUUAAGCUUAGUUGCCAUCAUUAAGUUGGGCACUCUAAGUUGACUGCCGGUGACAAACCGGAGGAAGGUGGGGAUGACGUCAAAUCAUCAUGCCCCUUAUGAUUUGGGCUACACACGUGCUACAAUGGACAAUACAAAGGGCAGCGAAACCGCGAGGUCAAGCAAAUCCCAUAAAGUUGUUCUCAGUUCGGAUUGUAGUCUGCAACUCGACUACAUGAAGCUGGAAUCGCUAGUAAUCGUAGAUCAGCAUGCUACGGUGAAUACGUUCCCGGGUCU